CUUUGAUGCGACCUUUUCCCCAGCGCGCGCUCACGCUGCUGGUGCCCUCGUUAGGAUUCUGUGCCGGGCAGCGGGAGGCUUUCUGCCCUUUGUCUGUUCCCACGACCCGAGCCUUUGCUGUGUCAGACUGAACCCUUUGCUUUAAUCUGUUUCGAUGUUCGAUGAGCAUGAUUUACGCACUUAAGUCUGGCCUCUAACCAAGUCAACUUUACUGCGCGUCCUGCCCCAGGGUUUCUCUGUGCUCCUCUGUUGCCCGCGGUCAGAUCUAGCCGGCCUUAUCCCGCAUCGGAAGCAUUUUAGGAAGGGUCUUUAUCACCCACUGCGCUCCCGGCAGCCUCCGUGCCGUUUCAUCUACGACUAAUGCGUUUUCUCCGCGAGAAGGCCACAGUAGUCCCGCCUUCGCCACGGUUUCACUUUCCAAGGUUUCAGUUACCUGCCGUCAACCAUGGUCCGAAAAUAUUAAAUGGAAUAGCCCAGAAAUAAGCAAUUCAUUUGUGUGUGAAUAUCCACUAUCAUUUCUCUUGGAUAAAUGCCUAGCAGUGGAAUUGCUGAGUCAUACAGUGGCAUCUCAAGCGGCCUCGUUCGUGAUUCGUGGCAUUUUUUUGAGAAGUGUGAAUUGGUGCAGCUGCAGUGGGAAGCCUGAAGCCAAUCCUGAUGGCUGGAGGGUUUGAGUCUCAUCCCCAAUUGGUCAGGGUCACGGCCAGGACUGCAGAACCCCAUACUGCUCUGGAGGCGUUACAGACCUCGCUUUCACCAGACCCCAAACAUGGUCUCAUUUUCUCAAAAAUAGAGAAACGCCUCUUUAGCAAAGAGUUUAUAAUCUACGUAAAACAAAAAUUAUCCUUCUUGGGUCAUAUCCAUGCUGGAGUCCCUGGAUAACUUAUCUCCUUUCUUUUUGCACGACGUUUUAAACACCGUAUACGCCUAGAUUGAGGAAAUUGUUUCAGAGAUGUCUCAGGAAGCACUUGGGAAGAAUACUCAGCUUCAUGUGCAGCACUUUUCACUUUAAAUACUUGGCAACCUCAUUUUAUGCAACCCCAAAUUUCCGUCUCUCCAUCCUCACAAUUUCCUUUAAUAUUAACCUCUCAAACUUUCCUCUUUGAUAUCUGCCUUAAGCACAGUUUCAUCCACCCUUUCCCUACGUGGCUUUAAUAAAUUGAAGAAGGCCUCUGUGGAAGCAUCUCCAGGCUCCAUCUGGUCCUUAGCUUUAUGCUACUUCUGCUCACCCCCCAAGCGUUCUGGCUUGUUGGGCAGAGCCCAGACAUAAUGUGGGGGUCACCAAAGAGGCUAUGUGUGAAGCAUGAAGAAAUUACUAGCCCAAAUUAACUGGAUAAUUUAAAAUUAACUUUCAUUCAUCCAUUACUUCAUCUAUUUUGGUGUCUUCCAUUUUCCUAUGUCUGUAAAGUCUCAGUGCAUUUUCUCAGUAUUCCACUUGCUGGAGAGACGGGGCAGGGCAGGUGGUGUGUAGAAACAGCUAAGCAACUGUGGGAAAAUCUUGAUGGAUAUGCUGUCAAUCUGCUUUGCUAUUUUCCCCCAGUUCUUAUUGUGGUUCUGAAUUCACUGAAACCUAAAGAGAAAUUCCUGUAUUUGACAACUGAACUAACAGCUCGACUAGGGGAAAAACACUGCCGAAAUCUGUCAAUGAACAUUGCUAACAUAUGUUGCAUUUAUAGACAGGAAGAAAACUAAACCUAGCAAGUCCUUGGAAAGAUGUGUGAGCUGGCUGACAGGUGUGACAUCUCAGCACAACAAGUGACAGCAGCACUGAGCAGUGGGCUGCGUUCAGGGAGACUUGAUUGGUCACAGAUGACAAUUCUGGCUCCCUGAGCUGUUUCUCCAGUGCCUACGAUUAAUAUCAAAUGUCAAGUAAGACUCACAGCCAGCAAUAAGAUCGAAGGUAUACUCAGUUAAAAUACCAUAGGGUUUUAGCUUCCUGUAACCCAGUCAAGCUAUCCAGACACUUCCUGGGGGAUUGUCCUCAGGAUGAAUUAGACAAGAAGAGAGCUACAAGGGUUUUCUUCCAGAAGCAAAGCUUCAAGUAGUGCACAGCAGAAACAGAUAUUUAUCACUUGCAUGAGGAAUGGUAGGAAAGGCAUUUUUUUAGCCACAAGUAUUGAAUAGGCUGGUAGAAGACUGUGAGACAGACAGA
Molecule: long non-coding RNA, 2149 nt
Organism: Equus quagga
Lineage: Eukaryota; Metazoa; Chordata; Mammalia; Perissodactyla; Equidae
Exons: 4
Source: RefSeq, a predicted model, not a curated record